This 77-nucleotide non-coding RNA is filed under the name Pedobacter soli. Lineage: Bacteria; Pseudomonadati; Bacteroidota; Sphingobacteriia; Sphingobacteriales; Sphingobacteriaceae. The record is from RNAcentral.
AACCGCCGUAUACCGAACGGUACGUACGGUGGUGUGAGGAGACAGCAGGGAAACUAAUUCCCUGCUUCUUACUCGAU